RNAcentral lists this ribosomal RNA (577 nucleotides) under uncultured bacterium. RNAcentral's name for it is "bacterial SSU rRNA". It matches the Rfam family "Bacterial small subunit ribosomal RNA", at positions 57 to 663 of the family's 1533-position model. The record is from RNAcentral.
GCAGUCGAACGAUCCGCUUCGGUGGAUAGUGGCGCACGGGUGCGUAACACGUAGCUUACCCGCCUCAAAGAGGGGGAUAACUCCGCGAAAGUGGAGCUAAUACCCCAUAAGCUCCCGCGCUGUAGAGGCGUGAGAGAAAAGGAAUCCGCUUUGAGAGGGGGCUGCGGCUCAUCAGGUAGAUGGUGGGGUAACGGCUCACCAUGCCGGCGACGAGUAGGGGGUCUGAGAGGAUGAUCCCCCACACUGGGACUGAGACACGGCCCAGACUCCUACGGGAGGCAGCAGUGAGGAAUAUUGCACAAUGGGGGCAACCCUGAUGCAGCGACGCCGCGUGGGUGAUGAAGGGCUUCGGCUCGUAAAACCCUUUUCUGCGUGACGAGAGAGGACGGUAGCGCAGGAAUAAGCCUCGGCUAACUACGUGCCAGCAGCCGCGGUAAAACGUAGGAGGCAAGCGUUAUCCGGAGUUACUGGGCGUAAAGCGCAUGUAGGCGGUCAGUUAAGUUGCGUGUGAAAGCGCUCGGCUCAACCGGGCAAUCGCAGGCAAGACUGGGUGACUAGAGGACGAUAGAGGAGCGCA